This 83-nucleotide transfer RNA is filed under the name Ailuropoda melanoleuca (giant panda). It matches the Rfam family "tRNA". Rfam says of the family: Transfer RNA (tRNA) molecules are approximately 80 nucleotides in length. Their secondary structure includes four short double-helical elements and three loops (D, anti-codon, and T loops). Lineage: Eukaryota; Metazoa; Chordata; Mammalia; Carnivora; Ursidae. The record is from Rfam by way of RNAcentral.
GCCUGGGUGGUUUAGUUGUUAAACGUCUGCCUUUGGCUCAGGGCGUGAUCCCGGCGUUGUGGGAUCGAGCCCCACAUCAGGCU